AUUGAACGCUGGCGGCAGGCCUAACACAUGCAAGUCGAGCGGAUGAAGGGAGCUUGCUCCUGGAUUCAGCGGCGGACGGGUGAGUAAUGCCUAGGAAUCUGCCUGGUAGUGGGGGAUAACGUCCGGAAACGGGCGCCAAUACCGCAUACGUCCUGAGGGAGAAAGUGGAGGAUCUUCGGACCUCACGCUAUCAGAUGAGCCUAGGUCGGAUUAGCUAGUUGGUGGGGUAAAGGCCUACCAAGGCGACGAUCCGUAACUGGUCUGAGAGGAUGAUCAGUCACACUGGAACUGAGACACGGUCCAGACUCCUACGGGAGGCAGCAGUGGGGAAUAUUGGACAAUGGGCGAAAGCCUGAUCCAGCCAUGCCGCGUGUGUGAAGAAGGUCUUCGGAUUGUAAAGCACUUUAAGUUGGGAGGAAGGGCAGUAAGUUAAUACCUUGCUGUUUUGACGUUACCAACAGAAUAAGCACCGGCUAACUUCGUG
RNAcentral lists this ribosomal RNA (484 nucleotides) under uncultured bacterium. Its description in RNAcentral is "partial 16S ribosomal RNA". It matches the Rfam family "Bacterial small subunit ribosomal RNA", at positions 30 to 507 of the family's 1533-position model. The record is from RNAcentral.